ACUCCCAACAUGAUUACUUUCUCAAAAAUCGAAGAGGCACCGCUCCCCGAAUCUCGAGAGCCAGACUCUCACCAGGAUUGCUUUCUUAAAAAUCGAAGAGGCACCGCUAUCCGAAUCUCGAGAGCCAGACUCCUACCAGGAUCACUUUCUCAAAAAUCGAAGAGGCACCGCUCUCUAAACCUCGAGAGCCAGAUCCCCAAUAAGAUUGCUUGUUCAAAAAUCGAAGA
RNAcentral lists this long non-coding RNA (227 nucleotides) under Malus domestica (apple). RNAcentral describes it as "long non-coding RNA (MDOM_LNC002657)". The record is from RNAcentral. Lineage: Eukaryota; Viridiplantae; Streptophyta; Magnoliopsida; Rosales; Rosaceae.